CUUUUUGAGAUGAUCCCA
RNAcentral lists this small nuclear RNA (18 nucleotides) under Arabidopsis thaliana (thale cress). Its description in RNAcentral is "snRNA_12287". The record is from RNAcentral. Lineage: Eukaryota; Viridiplantae; Streptophyta; Magnoliopsida; Brassicales; Brassicaceae.